RNAcentral lists this long non-coding RNA (299 nucleotides) under Neogale vison (American mink). RNAcentral's name for it is "Neovison vison (American mink) lncRNA (ENSNVIG00000000348.1)". Lineage: Eukaryota; Metazoa; Chordata; Mammalia; Carnivora; Mustelidae. The record is from RNAcentral.
GGGUGGCCCGAGGCGGCGAUUCCCUGGCCAGCAGUGGGACACGGGGGGCGGGCAUGUCCACAGGCUUUCUGGGUGGGCCCGAAGGCCCCUGGUGUCGGGGAGCCAUGGGCCUUUGUGCGGGAUCGCAGCCCCCCCGAGAGGCUCCCCGCCUACCGCAGGCCUCGGGGAGCAGGUAUUGCGGGGGUCAGCUGCGCCACUGGAGGCCUGUUCCGGGGGUAUCAACAUAAACUUCAAAUGCAACCAUCUUUUUUCUAGUCACAAUUAAAAUGCAAUAAAGAAGAAAGACUCCGGAAACUGCA